CGAGCGAUGCGCGCGCGACACGGCUCGAGGAAAGUCCGGGCUCCGCAGGGCACGGUGCCGGGUAACGCCCGGGCGCCGCGAGGCGACGGAAAGUGUCACAGAGAGCAGACCGCCGAUGGCGGCUACGCCGCACAGGCAAGGGUGAAAGGGUGGGGUAAGAGCCCACCGCGCCGCUGGAGACCGCGACGGCACGACAAACCCCACCGGGAGCAAGGCCAAAUAGGGACGGCGGUCGCGCUGCGGUGUGACGGAACUGUUCCCGGUUCGCCGUCCGGGUCGGCUGCACGAGGUGUUUGGCAA
RNAcentral lists this RNase P RNA (300 nucleotides) under Gemmatimonadota bacterium. RNAcentral describes it as "Gemmatimonadetes bacterium RNase P RNA component class A". It matches the Rfam family "Bacterial RNase P class A", at positions 1 to 295 of the family's 367-position model. Rfam says of the family: Ribonuclease P (RNase P) is a ubiquitous endoribonuclease, found in archaea, bacteria and eukarya as well as chloroplasts and mitochondria. Its best characterised activity is the generation of mature 5'-ends of tRNAs by cleaving the 5'-leader elements of precursor-tRNAs. Cellular RNase Ps are ribonucleoproteins. The record is from RNAcentral. Lineage: Bacteria; Pseudomonadati; Gemmatimonadota.